UCCAAACCCAUGUGAACAUAUCUCUUUGUUGCCUCGGCGCAAGCUACCCGGGACCUCGCGCCCCGGGCGGCCCGCCGGCGGACAAACCAAACUCUGUUAUCUUCGUUGAUUAUCUGAGUGUCUUAUUUAAUAAGUCAAAACUUUCAACAACGGAUCUCUUGGUUCUGGCAUCGAUGAAGAACGCAGCGAAAUGCGAUAAGUAAUGUGAAUUGCAGAAUUCAGUGAAUCAUCGAAUCUUUGAACGCACAUUGCGCCCAUUAGUAUUCUAGUGGGCAUGCCUGUUCGAGCGUCAUUUCAACCCCUAAGCACAGCUUAUUGUUGGGCGUCUACGUCUGUAGUGCCUCAAAGACAUUGGCGGAGCGGCAGCAGUCCUCUGAGCGUAGUAAUUCUUUAUCUCGCUUCUGUUAGGCGCUGCCCCCCCGGCCGUAAAACCCCCAAUUUUUUCUGGUUGACCUCGGAUCAGGUAGGAAUACCCGCUGAACUUAAGCAUAUCAAUAAGCGGAGGAA
Molecule: ribosomal RNA, 507 nt
Filed under: Nigrospora sp. TA26-34
Lineage: Eukaryota; Fungi; Ascomycota; Sordariomycetes; Amphisphaeriales; Apiosporaceae
Description: eukaryotic LSU rRNA
Rfam family: 5.8S ribosomal RNA (bases 139-292)
Source: RNAcentral